CCGCUGGCUUUGUUUCAGAACUGGCGGAGAAUAGUGAAUCCGGUCAGAAUCCGGAACGGUACCGCCACUGUAUGCGAGGAGGCACCGCACGGGACGAAAGUCAGUCAUUGGGAUUUUUCCUGAGAAGGCAGUGCGGAGACUUUUGAUACGCGAGUCAGGAGACCUGCUUGAACAA
This 175-nucleotide non-coding RNA is filed under the name uncultured Faecousia sp. The record is from RNAcentral. Lineage: Bacteria; Bacillati; Bacillota; Clostridia; Eubacteriales; Oscillospiraceae.